This 403-nucleotide ribosomal RNA is filed under the name uncultured bacterium. Its description in RNAcentral is "partial 16S ribosomal RNA". It matches the Rfam family "Bacterial small subunit ribosomal RNA", at positions 28 to 526 of the family's 1533-position model. The record is from RNAcentral.
GACGAACGCUGGCGGCGUGCCUAAUACAUGCAAGUCGAACGCAGUGGGGACUGGUGAGUAACACGUGGGUGACCUCACAGCUGAGGGGGUACCACUUGGAAACAGGUGCUAAACCGAUACUGCUGGUUGGACCCGGGGUGGAUUAGCUAGGUGGUGAGGUAAAGGCUAACAAGGGCAACGAGGCAUAGCUGAUCUGAGAGGUGGAUCGGUCACACUGGGACUGAGACACGGCCCAGACUCCUACGGGAGGCAGCAGUAGGGAAUAUUGGGCAAUGGGCGAAAGUCUGAUCGAGCCACGCCGCGUGAGUGAAGAAGGUUUUCGGAUUGUAAAACUCUGUUGUUAGAGAAGCGGUAUCUAACCAGUAAGCAACGGCUAACUACGUGCCAGCAGCCGCGGUAAUAC